Molecule: unclassified non-coding RNA, 536 nt
Filed under: Aspergillus montevidensis
Lineage: Eukaryota; Fungi; Ascomycota; Eurotiomycetes; Eurotiales; Aspergillaceae
Description: sequence contains ITS1, 5.8S rRNA gene, ITS2
Rfam family: 5.8S ribosomal RNA (bases 155-308)
Source: RNAcentral
AAGGAUCAUUACCGAGUGCGGGCCCUCUGGGUCCAACCUCCCAUCCGUGUCUAUCUGUACCCUGUUGCUUCGGCGUGGCCACGGCCCGCCGGAGACUAACAUUUGAACGCUGUCUGAAGUUUGCAGUCUGAGUUUUUAGUUAAACAAUCGUUAAAACUUUCAACAACGGAUCUCUUGGUUCCGGCAUCGAUGAAGAACGCAGCGAAAUGCGAUAAUUAAUGUGAAUUGCAGAAUUCAGUGAAUCAUCGAGUCUUUGAACGCACAUUGCGCCCCCUGGUAUUCCGGGGGGCAUGCCUGUCCGAGCGUCAUUGCUGCCCUCAAGCACGGCUUGUGUGUUGGGCUUCCGUCCCUGGCAACGGGGACGGGCCCAAAAGGCAGUGGCGGCACCAUGUCUGGUCCUCGAGCGUAUGGGGCUUUGUCACCCGCUCCCGUAGGUCCAGCUGGCAGCUAGCCUCGCAACCAAUCUUUUUAACCAGGUUGACCUCGGAUCAGGUAGGGAUACCCGCUGAACUUAAGCAUAUCAAUAAACGGAGGAA